AUCCUUGAAAAGACAGCCUUGAACAAAGGGCAGCCAAUAGUUCUACUCAUAAGACAUGGAGAAAUGCAAAAGACCCAUGGAGAUUUGUCUUCUAAUAGGCAGCAUCUUGCAAGGAGAACAAGAAGAUUUACACUAGCCAUGCAAGGAAUCUUUGAAAGUCUAGCAGACCUGACUUGAAGAGAAGGCUCUAAACAAGAAAUUCUUCAUUCUGGAACAGUGAUUCUUAAAGUGCGGUUCAGAGACCCUGGGAGACAUUGACAUUCUUUCAGAGUGUGAGUGAGGAUUUCCUCUUUGCAACUACAAUCUGUGUAAGGUUGGAUUUUCUUUACAUACAUAAACUAAAAUAAGAUUGCAAUAAGAUGAAUGCAGAAGCAGAUAAGAGAAUCCAGCUGUCUUAAGUUAGACUUCACAGAGAUUUGCAAAAAUCCAAACAAGACCACUCUUGUCAUUAAAGUUAUUUUCCAUUUGUUAUGGUGAACUUAUUUUGCAGGAAAUUUGUUAUUUAUAGUAACAUACAAUUUUGUUUUUUGAUCAUUUUAAAUAAAUUAAUAAAUAUUCUAAGUUUUCUAUUUUUAAAAUUAUACAUGUCAGAACAGUUCUUUCAGGUCCUCAACAAUUUUAAGACUAUUAACUUGUUUUGGAUCAAAAAGUUCUAGAUUUGCUAUUCUAGACAUGAAUCCUUUGAAAUUAAUUGGCUUCAUAAGUAUAUUUUUCAAGUUUGUGGCUUGUCCUGUACCCUUCUACUGUGUAGAAGUUUUAAAUUUUAAUUUAAAGAAAUUUAAAAUUGUUUCCAUUUUUGUUUGUGCUUUUGGUGUCAUAUUUAGGAAAUCCUUCUCUACCUUGAGUUCAUGAAAAUAUCCUCUUAUAUUUAGUAUUUACAGUUUGUUCUUCAUCUUUAGGUCUAUAAUUUAUCGAAAAUAUAGUUUUGUAUGUGAUGUAAGCUAAAGAUAUUUUUUAAAACUUGAUAUGGAUAACACAUUUUGGCAAUAUUAUUCAUCCACUCAUUCUCCCACUGACUUUCCCUCUGCCACUUACUUACCUAUAUAAGAAUUUGUCCUGGAGAUUCUCUUUUCUAUUCUUUCAGUCUAAUGGCUUAAUUGUUGAUCAAUUACCCUUUUUAACUAUUGAUGCUUUAGAGUAAGUCUUGAUAUAAAGCCAUGCAAGUCCCUUGAAUUAUUCUCCCAGUUUUCCUUCUUAAAAACAUUCUGGGAUCUUCCUGGCCUUUAACUUCUCUGACUUAAUUUUAGGAUCAAUUUCUCAGAUUACAUUAACAACCUGUUCAAAUUGCAUAGAUUUUACAGGUAAAUCUGUAUAAAAUUUACAUGUUAUAAUAUUGAGGCUUUUUAUCCAUAAACAUUUUCACCAACGUUUUAGUUUUAUAACUUCCAAUAAGAUUUUAUAAUUUUUCAUACCUAUCUUAGAUGAUUUUGGUUGCAUUUAUUUUUUAUAGUUUUAGUUUAGUUUUAUUGUCAAUGCAGUUUUUUCCAAUUCUAUUUUAUAACAGUUUUUCUGGUAAAAAAAAAAAAAGACUAUUUAUUUUGUGUAUUGGUUUUUAAAUUGUACAAUGUUUCUGAAUUUUCUUACUUCCAAAUAGUCAUCUAUAAAUUAUCUUGAUUGUCUAAAAUGUGAAAUUCAUAUACUAUGAGAAUGAUAAUUUUUUUUUUCAUUUUCAGUUCUUAAACUUCUGAUUACACUUGGCUGGAACCUCCUUCACUAGGUUGACAAUAAGUGGCAAUAGUGGUAUCCUUGUUCUGUUAUUGAUUCCAAGAGCCUGCCUCUAAUGUUUCCCCAUGUAUUAUGAUGUUUGUGUAAAUUUUGAUAGACCUUAUUUAUUAAGUAAAAAGAUUCUCUUCUAGUUCAAGUUUGGUCUAUAAGUUUUUAUUGUGAAAGUGAACUGAAUUUUAGAAAUACCUUUUAAUGUGUAUGAAAAAUUAUAUCUUUAUUUCUGUUAAUGUGAUAAAUUAAGGGAUUUUACUAAUAUUUGGUUAUCUUUGUAUUUCAACAAUUAUAGUCAUGAUAUUAUUAAAUAUUAAUUUGGUUAGCUAA
Molecule: non-coding RNA, 2046 nt
Filed under: Pan troglodytes (chimpanzee)
Lineage: Eukaryota; Metazoa; Chordata; Mammalia; Primates; Hominidae
Source: RNAcentral